RNAcentral lists this long non-coding RNA (313 nucleotides) under Brassica napus (rape). Its description in RNAcentral is "long non-coding RNA (BNAP_LNC013135)". The record is from RNAcentral. Lineage: Eukaryota; Viridiplantae; Streptophyta; Magnoliopsida; Brassicales; Brassicaceae.
ACCUGCGAAGCAAGAUUGGUGUUCGUCAACUCCCACCAUCUUGAGGGGGCGUGUUAAGUAAAUAAUAUAUAGAUAAGGGAUCUCUAUGUAAUUAGUUUAGAAUACAGUAGUCCUACUUGUAUACUUGUAUAAAUACCUUUCUUACGGUUAAUAAAAGUAUCUAAGCCUCCAACUCUAUAGCUGAGGUGGAUAAGCCACAAGUGUAAUUGAACCCUGGAUUAGUGGGAAGUAGUUGAGCAACACAAGAAAUAGCGAUGUCAAUGCAUGAUUAAUUAUUGAAUAGAUAAUGUUACAUUGUUAAACUCAUGAUAGG